RNAcentral lists this long non-coding RNA (1873 nucleotides) under Lotus japonicus. RNAcentral describes it as "long non-coding RNA (LJAP_LNC000359)". Lineage: Eukaryota; Viridiplantae; Streptophyta; Magnoliopsida; Fabales; Fabaceae. The record is from RNAcentral.
ACUUUUUACAAUUCUGAGUUUCUCUAACACGAAUAAAUGUAAAUUUUAUAAUAGAACCAAAACUAGAAUACUAACGGGCAAACCAGGUGCUAAUGCUAUAAAGCUACCGCUAAGCGCGAGGUCCAGGGAGGGGCUGGACCCACUUUGUGGAUCUAAUAUAGGCAGGCGUCACAUGGCAGCAACCAUACCGUUGCGCCGAGGCUCACCCUCCAGAUGCGUUAUGAAUGUGUUAUAAGAACCUCACAAUCGAAGAACUACAGUCCAUUUAAAUGGCCAGAAUCAUUCAAUUCAAACAGAUAGUAUCAGCGGUCAGCCGGUCACAAGUCACAACUGCAGCUGUUCCGCCAAUUGAUCUCAGUUCGUACGAUCUGCGAUACGUUUCCCAAUGUUAAGUCUAGUGCCAUUGAAAUCUCAAUAGAUCUAAAGAUCACCCUUUAUUUAUAUACCUUCUCACGGUGCAGAUAUUGUGCAACGAAUCUCAAAUUAGAUAAGAACAACCACCAUGAUCAACGAAGGCUUGUAAGGAAGGCAGGUAAUAAACUAUGCUUAUGAAGAUUUUACACAAGAAUAUUAAGAGGUUUAGGGAAUGCAAGGGAACAGAAGAAGCUUACCCUGGUAAAAAUAGAAAUAUUAUACAGAAAGGAAGGAAUGCCGGAAGAAAAUCCUAUACUUACAUCAAAUAUAUAUAUAUAUAUAUAUGUGUACAAAUUUAUGUAAGUAACAACAGCUAGUUAGUUUUGCAGUGCAAGACUUCUGCCUUCCUUGGAACAAUCAUUUGGGUGUUCUUGAUUGGCAAUGGGUAUGUCCUACUUUGCAACAAUACCCCACAUACUGCUCAAAGUUGUCUGCAAAUUCCUCCACUGCCCAGUUUGCUUGAGAGAUAAUAGCAGCUCAAACGAAUUUUGAACCAUGGACGGUUGAAAGCGCCUAACAACUGCAAGUUUGAACUUUGAAAGCCUCCCACGUAAGUGCAGGAUUGCACCUUUCCCACCAUUGGAACCAACUCAAAGCUUUUCCCUCCAUAGCAACCAUGGUUGUUUGCAUUCUUUCCUCAUCCGUGACCCCUUUAAAGUUUAAACUGAAAUAACAUUCCAGUUUAUGGGUCCAGCCAAAUGCAUCUUCCCCAGCGAAUAUUGGGAUUUCCAGUUUGCACCAAUGUUCACGCCCCUAAUCCCCUGAGUCUUCACCUCUAUCUACUUUGGGAAUUUCACCCUGCCUCAGGCCCAGUUUGGCAGCGAUCGCAGCAAGAAGUACUUCGUUUUCCUUGGUCCUGGCUUCAUUCAAUUCUAUUCGAGUUAGCAUCUCCUUCGUCCUCUUAGUCCAAUCUUCAGAGUUUUGAGUCAUACUUCUUGUUUGUACCAUGCCCAGCCUCAGAAUUUUCAUGGUUCUUCAGGGCACUGGGGUGCUCUGAUACCAGUGUUAGAACUGGUACCAAACAGAAUAGAGAAACCGAACUAGUCUGGCCUAGCCAAACAGGUUCGCACCCUCCCUUAGGAAAAACAGAAUUUCAUCCCCAUUAGGAAAAGCAGAGUCGUGACUCGUGAGUUGAGAGAGAAGGAAAACGGGAAACGUCUAUUAGAAAAAUAUCGCUCUUGAGAAGAAUUACAAACUAGACACCUAUAGCCACCCACCAACUCCUAAUUCUUCCCGAAAACCCCCCAAUAGAGGCACAGCCACCUCUAUAUAUACUUAACCCAAAACCCUAAUAAAACAUAAUAAAAUAUUAAACUAAUGCUGACUGGAAAAUAAAGCAUAAUGCUGACUGGAUAAAUAAAGACAGAAAGCCCAAGGCUGUUUGGCUGAGAAAUGUCAGCCUGUUUGGCUGGCGCACAACCUCUGUUUCAGCGCUAGCUAAGGCAACGCUUGCUUCUCU